Molecule: ribosomal RNA, 389 nt
Filed under: uncultured bacterium
Lineage: Bacteria
Description: bacterial SSU rRNA
Rfam family: Bacterial small subunit ribosomal RNA
Source: RNAcentral
GGACGAACGCUGGCGGCGUGCUUAACACAUGCAAGUCGAGCGGUAAGGCCCUUUCGGGGGUACGACGAGCGGCGAACGGGUGAGUAACACGUGGGUGACCUGCCCUCAGCUCUGGGAUAAGCCUGGGAAACCGGGUCUAAUACCGGAUAUGACUCCAUGACGCAUGUUGUGGGGUGGAAAGCCUUGUGCGGCUGAGGAUGGGCCCGCGGCCUAUCAGCUUGUUGGUGGGGUGAUGGCCACCAAGGCGACGACGGGUAGCCGGCCUGAGAGGGCGACCGGCCACACUGGGACUGAGACACGGCCCAGACUCCUACGGGAGGCAGCAGUGGGGAAUCUUGCGCAAUGGGCGAAAGCCUGACGCAGCGACGCCGCGUGAGGGAUGACGGCCU